Molecule: ribosomal RNA, 769 nt
Filed under: uncultured bacterium
Lineage: Bacteria
Description: bacterial SSU rRNA
Rfam family: Bacterial small subunit ribosomal RNA
Source: RNAcentral
UGCGUUNUGAACUGGGUGACUAGAGUGUGUCAGAGGGAGGUAGAAUNCCACGUGUAGCAGUGAAAUGCGUAGAGAUGUGGAGGAUACCGAUGGCGAAGGCAGCNUCCUGGGAUAACACUGACGUUCAUGCCCGAAAGCGUGGGUAGCAAACAGGAUUAGAUACCCUGGUAGUCCACGCCCUAAACGAUGUCGAUUAGCUGUUGGGCAGCAUGACUGCUUAGUAGCGAAGCUAACGCGUGAAAUCGACCGCCUGGGGAGUACGGUCGCAAGAUUAAAACUCAAAGGAAUUGACGGGGACCCGCACAAGCGGUGGAUGAUGUGGAUUAAUUCGAUGCAACGCGAAGAACCUUACCUGGUCUUGACAUGUACGGAACCCUCCAGAGACGGAGGGGUGCCUUCGGGAGCCGUAUCACAGGUGCUGCAUGGCUGUCGUCAGCUCGUGUCGUGAGAUGUUGGGUUAAGUCCCGCAACGAGCGCAACCCUUGUCAUUAGUUGCCAUCAUUAAGUUGGGCACUCUAAUGAGACUGCCGGUGACAAGCCGGAGGAAGGUGGGGAUGACGUCAAGUCCUCAUGGCCCUUAUGACCAGGGCUUCACACGUCAUACAAUGGUCGGUACAGAGGGUAGCCAAGCCGCGAGGUGGAGCCAAUCUCACAAAACCGAUCGUAGUCCGGAUUGCACUCUGCAACUCGAGUGCAUGAAGUCGGAAUCGCUAGUAAUCGCAGGUCAGCAUACUGCGGUGAAUACGUUCCCGGGUCUUGUACACACCGC